AAGAAGUAAUAAAUAUAUAUAUACAAUUUCAAGGCCAAAUAGAAACAAAUAAAAAAAAUAUCCCAAAAAUUAAGGAUUAUGUUGAACAAAUAAUUCCGUCACUUAACGCAAUGGAAUUCAAAAAUCAUUUCAGAAUGUUAGCACAGACGUUCGACUUUAUUCUAAAGUAGAUUGCAAAUCAAUUACAACGAUUUGUAAGUGGCAAUGAAAUGAUAUCUCCAGAAAAACAGUUUUUAAUUACUUUGUGGCGUAUGGCAACACCAGAUUCAUAUAGAUCAAUUCAUACUAGAUUUGAUGUUGGGAAAGGUACAUCUGUUAGAGCAGUAUAGAGGGUUAGGCAAGCAUUGUGUAAUCUUGCUUCAAAGUUUAUUCAAUGGCCAACAAGAGAAAAAAUGGAAAAAAUUAAAGAAGGUUUUUCUCGUAUUGGUGCUUUUCCAGGAGUUAUUGGAGCAAUUGAUGGCACCCACAUAAAUAUACCAGCUCCUAAUAUGCAUGCAGAAGCUUACGUUAAUAGGAAAGGACAUCAUUCAAUUCAAGCUCGUUCUUUUUUUCAUUUCUGUUAAUAAAAUAUAAAGUAUAACUUUUUUAAGUUUAUUAACAUAUUUCUGUAUUUCUUUUGGAUAUAGGUAGUCUGUGAUCAUACAUAUCUAUUUACACAUGUGUACGUUGGAAACGUAGGAUCCUUACACGAUGCUCGGGUAUUUAGAUUGUCAGCUGUACAAGACUACGUUUCAGAUGCAUCAAAGUUUCCCAAUGACUGUCACUUAAUAGAAGAUGCUGCUUAUCCCCUGUUAAAACAAUUAAUGGUGCCAUAUGUAGAUAAUGGCCAUCUGACAUGCCGUCAGAAGAAUUACAAUUUCUGCCUUUCGUCUUGUCGCAUGAGUGUUGAAAGAGCUAUUGGCUUGUUAAAAGGACGUUGGAGAAGCCUCCUUCAUCAUUUGGCCAUGGGAUGUGUGGAGCGUAUUUCCUAUCAUUUUUUAGCAUGUUGUGUGUUACAUAACAUAUGUUUAAUGAAAAAAGACGAAAUAGAAGCAGUUAUCGUAAAUAUAGACAUAGCACACCCUCAACCACAAAUACAAGAUAUAGAGCAAAACAGAGGUGAAGCAGAAGCUAAACGAGAUUUUGUGUGCUCUAUACUUCGUAUGAGAGAAGGCGUAUAAAAAAAACUGUGAUAUAUUCAUAUUUUUUAUUUGUGAUUAAAAUUUAAGUAAAUAUAAUCAAUAAGUAUUAUAUAUGUUAUUUUAUCAAUAAAAGUUACAUUAUAAGAUCACA
Molecule: long non-coding RNA, 1272 nt
Organism: Harpegnathos saltator (Jerdon's jumping ant)
Lineage: Eukaryota; Metazoa; Arthropoda; Insecta; Hymenoptera; Formicidae
Exons: 3
Source: RefSeq, a predicted model, not a curated record